CAUCCUCAGAACAGACAUCCACGCAGCGACCGCAGGUCAUGCAGUCGCGGUGAGUGA
This 57-nucleotide small RNA is filed under the name Salmonella enterica subsp. enterica serovar Typhi. RNAcentral's name for it is "StyR-172". The record is from RNAcentral. Lineage: Bacteria; Pseudomonadati; Pseudomonadota; Gammaproteobacteria; Enterobacterales; Enterobacteriaceae.